RNAcentral lists this ribosomal RNA (477 nucleotides) under uncultured bacterium. RNAcentral describes it as "bacterial SSU rRNA". It matches the Rfam family "Bacterial small subunit ribosomal RNA", at positions 29 to 507 of the family's 1533-position model. The record is from RNAcentral.
ACGAACGCUGGCGGCGUGCCUAACACAUGCAAGUCGAACGGAACUUUGUUGGAUGAGACUUCGGUUGAUGAAGAUAAAGUUUAGUGGCGGACGGGUGAGUAACGCGUGAGGAACCUGCCUCUCAGUGGGGGACAACAGUUGGAAACGACUGCUAAUACCGCAUAAUGUAUUUUAGGGGCAUCCCUUUAAUACCAAAGAUUUAUUGCUGAAAGAUGAGCUCGCGUCUGAUUAGAUAGUUGGUGAGGUAACGGCUCACCAAGUCGACGAUCAGUAGCCGGACUGAGAGGUUGGACGGCCACAUUGGGACUGAGACACGGCCCAGACUCCUACGGGAGGCAGCAGUGGGGAAUAUUGCACAAUGGGCGCAAGCCUGAUGCAGCGAUGCCGCGUGAGGGAAGAAGGUUUUAGGAUUGUAAACCUCUGUCUUCAGGGACGAUAAUGACGGUACCUGAGGAGGAAGCUCCGGCUAACUACGUG